Molecule: unclassified non-coding RNA, 596 nt
Filed under: Hevea brasiliensis (rubber tree)
Lineage: Eukaryota; Viridiplantae; Streptophyta; Magnoliopsida; Malpighiales; Euphorbiaceae
Source: RNAcentral
AAUCUGAAAUAUCUGAACUUGGAGAAUAAUUUCAAGCUAAAUAUGAUCCCAAGGGGAGUCAUAUCUGGUUUAUCAUCGUUACAAGUUUUGAGAAUGUAUGGCAAAGUUAGUUUUAAGGGAAAAAAAAGGAACAUAAUUUAUUUGGGGAAGAUAAUAUGCUACUAGAGGACCUGCAAUGUUUAGAACACUUGAAGGAAUUGACCAGCACAAUAAGAAGUGUCUCAGUUCUCCAGAGUUUUAUCAGCAUCCACACAUUACUCAACUGUACUCGAGGCCUAAGGCUUGAACUGUUUCAAGGUCCACAAUCUCUCAACGUGUGGUGGUUAGCAAAUAUGAAGAAUCUAGGUGUCCUACAAAUUUUUGGUGAUAUAGAUUCAGAAGAGUUGGAUGUUGAUAUUGUAAUGGAAGAGACAGAAACACAUAAUGCAGCUGGAGGUCUAGGUAGCUCAGUGAUCUCAAGGGAGGCAUGCUUUAAUAGCCUUCAUACAUUGAUUGUAUCAGGUAACCUCAGAUUGCGGGAUCUGACAUGGCUUAUUCUAGCUCCAAAUUUGACGAAUUUGAGUGUCUUUGUCAACAAGCAUAUAGAAGAGAUAAUA